AGGCUUGUAGCUCAGGUGGUUAGAGCGCACCCCUGAUGAGGGUGAGGUCGGUGGUUCAAGUCCACUCAGGCCUACCA
This 77-nucleotide transfer RNA is filed under the name Klebsiella pneumoniae. Its description in RNAcentral is "tRNA-Ile". It matches the Rfam family "tRNA". From Rfam's summary of the family: Transfer RNA (tRNA) molecules are approximately 80 nucleotides in length. Their secondary structure includes four short double-helical elements and three loops (D, anti-codon, and T loops). Further hydrogen bonds mediate the characteristic L-shaped molecular structure. tRNAs have two regions of fundamental functional importance: the anti-codon, which is responsible for specific mRNA codon recognition, and the 3' end, to which the tRNAs corresponding amino acid is attached (by aminoacyl-tRNA synthetases). tRNAs cope with the degeneracy of the genetic code in two manners: having more than one tRNA (with a specific anti-codon) for a particular amino acid; and 'wobble' base-pairing, i.e. permitting non-standard base-pairing at the 3rd anti-codon position. The record is from RNAcentral. Lineage: Bacteria; Pseudomonadati; Pseudomonadota; Gammaproteobacteria; Enterobacterales; Enterobacteriaceae. RNAcentral also lists the same sequence under 1 other name.